AUAUUCAUGAGGUUCGCCUUGACUUUGGCAGAUGAGCUUACACUUUAAUGGCUAUUGCCGUAAUGCUAUAAACGUCUGGUUUUCCAAAUGUGCAUUGGGAUAUGGUAUUUACGCAGGUUAUUUAAAAAAAAAAAAAAUAGUUCUAUGUAUUUGGCCUGGUGAAUACUAUAACCACUGCUGCUGCACAAGAGUAGUGGGAGUUUGAGCACAGGGCUUAUUUCUGCAUGGACAAAAAACAAUUAAUACACCAGCAUAAUUAUGUUAUUUAGCAAAGCUGUAUGCACAAUUGUGUUACCAGGAAAAAGCUUCAAAACAUUAGUGUUAACAUCUUAAAUACCUGAGGUACAUUCAGCACCCAGGGUUCUAAACAAAACUUUGAAUUUUAGACUAAA
This is a non-coding RNA of Pelobates cultripes (western spadefoot toad), 392 nucleotides long. The record is from the annotation of a GenBank genome assembly. Lineage: Eukaryota; Metazoa; Chordata; Amphibia; Anura; Pelobatidae.